UUCAAUGGUGGCCCAGACGGGGCAGCAUUUCGAUGCUGGCUGGCUAGCAAUGACCAGUGGUGAGACACCCGUCUGGGCUACCGCCAUU
RNAcentral lists this non-coding RNA (88 nucleotides) under Sodalis ligni. Lineage: Bacteria; Pseudomonadati; Pseudomonadota; Gammaproteobacteria; Enterobacterales; Bruguierivoracaceae. The record is from RNAcentral.